UUCGCCUACGGGAGGCAGCAGUGGGGAAUAUUGGGCAAUGGGCGCAAGCCUGACCCAGCAACGCCGCGUGAAGGAAGAAGGCUUUCGGGUUGUAAACUUCUUUUGUUAGGGACGAAGCAAGUGACGGUACCUGACGAAUAAGCCACGGCUAACUACGUGCCAGCAGCCGCGGUAAUACGUAGGUGGCAAGCGUUAUCCGGAUUUAUUGGGUGUAAAGGGCGUGUAGGCGGGAAUGCAAGUCAGCUGUGAAAACUACGGGCUUAACUUGUAGACUGCAGUUGAAACUGGUUUUCUUGAGUGAAGUA
Molecule: ribosomal RNA, 305 nt
Filed under: uncultured bacterium
Lineage: Bacteria
Description: bacterial SSU rRNA
Rfam family: Bacterial small subunit ribosomal RNA
Source: RNAcentral